RNAcentral lists this transfer RNA (70 nucleotides) under Solenostomus paradoxus (harlequin ghost pipefish). RNAcentral describes it as "tRNA-Asp". It matches the Rfam family "tRNA". From Rfam's summary of the family: Transfer RNA (tRNA) molecules are approximately 80 nucleotides in length. Their secondary structure includes four short double-helical elements and three loops (D, anti-codon, and T loops). Lineage: Eukaryota; Metazoa; Chordata; Actinopteri; Syngnathiformes; Solenostomidae. The record is from RNAcentral.
AGGGUGUUAGUUAAAUGAAUAACUUUACCUUGUCAAGGUAAGAUUGUAAGUGCAGACCUUGCACACCCUA